AGGAAUUAAAAUAGCCGCUUUUGUGCUAAGGUAGCAUAAUAAUUUGUCUUUUAAUUAAAGACUAGAACAAAAGGUUUAACAUCUCAAUUAAUGUUUUAUAAAAAAAUAUUUAAAUUAUUUUAAUUGUAAAAAAACAAUUUUAAAAAAGAAAGACGAUAAGACCCUAUCGAACUUUACUUUAGUUUAACUGGGGUAGUUAAUUAAUUAUUAUUUUAAUAUAAUUAAAUAUUUAAUUUGACCUAAUAUUAUUAAUAAAAUAACUAAGUUACCGUAGGGAUAACAGCGUAAUAAAAUUUUUAAGACCUUAUUUAAAAUAAAGAUUGCGACCUCGAUGUUGAUUUAAUAACCUAAUUUACGCAAUAGUUCAUAAAGGAAGUCUGUUCGACUUUUAAAAAAUUACAUGAUCUG
This 408-nucleotide ribosomal RNA is filed under the name Pardosa californica. RNAcentral's name for it is "partial 16S ribosomal RNA". The record is from RNAcentral. Lineage: Eukaryota; Metazoa; Arthropoda; Arachnida; Araneae; Lycosidae.